Hyaena hyaena (striped hyena) is the source of this 291-nucleotide long non-coding RNA. RefSeq lists it as uncharacterized. The record is from RefSeq and is a predicted model, not a curated record. The transcript has 3 exons. NCBI's taxonomy places the organism in Eukaryota, Metazoa, Chordata, Mammalia, Carnivora, Hyaenidae.
CUGGAAACCAUCCGACAGGGAAAUUCCAGCAAUUCUGCUGGUCCCUGAGAAGAGGCAAAGGCUGCAAACAGGAAAGAAGGUUUGCAUGGAAAACAAGGCUUCUUGGUGGAUGUUUUCAUAGCUUAUGUGAGAAUGAUCAAAUAGCAGAUCUCCGCUUACCUGCUUGGAGUUCCCUCCAUCAGCACAUCAAUGGCUUGCAGGGUGGGUGCAUCUUGAAGAUCUUUGUAACAGUAUCAUUGCACAUCAUCGUAUGUAAACCCACCUCAUUCUUUUAUAAGGAUAGCACAGUCU